This 532-nucleotide ribosomal RNA is filed under the name Pantoea agglomerans. RNAcentral describes it as "bacterial SSU rRNA". It matches the Rfam family "Bacterial small subunit ribosomal RNA", at positions 246 to 770 of the family's 1533-position model. Lineage: Bacteria; Pseudomonadati; Pseudomonadota; Gammaproteobacteria; Enterobacterales; Erwiniaceae. The record is from RNAcentral.
UAUUAGGUGGGGUAACGGCUCACCUAGGCGACAAUCCCUAUCUGGUCUGAGAGGAUGACCACCCACACUGGAACUGAGACACGGUCCACACUCCUACGGGAGGCACCAGUGGGGAAUAUUGCACAAUGGGCGCAAGCCUGAUGCACCCAUGCCGCGUGUAUGAAAAAAGCCUUCGGGUUGUAAAGUACUUUCACCGGGGAGGAAGGUGUUGUGGUUAAUAACCACAGCAAUUGACGUUACCCGCACAAAAAACACCGGCUAACUCCGUGCCACCACCCGCGGUAAUACGGAGGGUGCAAGCGUUAAUCGGAAUUACUGGGCGUAAAGCGCACGCACGCGGUCUGUCAAGUCGGAUGUGAAAUCCCCGGGCUCAACCUGGGAACUGCAUUCUAAACUGGCAGGCUGGAGUCUCGUAUAGGGAGGUAUAAUUCCAGGUGUAUCGGUGAAAUGCGUAUAGAUCUGGAGGAAUACCGGUGGCGAAGGCGGCCUCCUGGACGAAAACUGACGCUCACGUGCGAAAGCGUGUGGAGCA